RNAcentral lists this ribosomal RNA (492 nucleotides) under uncultured bacterium. Its description in RNAcentral is "partial 16S ribosomal RNA". It matches the Rfam family "Bacterial small subunit ribosomal RNA", at positions 29 to 507 of the family's 1533-position model. The record is from RNAcentral.
AGUGAACGCUGGCGGUAGGCCUAACACAUGCAAGUCGAACGGCAGCACAGUAAGAGCUUGCUCUUACGGGUGGCGAGUGGCGGACGGGUGAGGAAUACAUCGGAAUCUACUUUUUCGUGGGGGAUAACGUAGGUAAACUUACGCUAAUACCGCAUACGACCUACGGGUGAAAGCAGGGGAGCUUCGGACCUUGCGCGAUUGAAUGAGCCGAUUUCGGAUUAGCUAGUUGGCGGGGUAAAGGCCCACCAAGGCGACGAUCCGUAGCUGGUCUGAGAGGAUGAUCAGCCACACUGGAACUGAGACACGGUCCAGACUCCUACGGGAGGCCGCAGUGGGGAAUAUUGGACAAUGGGCGCAAGCCUGAUCCAGCCAUCCCGCGUGGGUGAAGAAGGCCUUCGGGUUGUAAAGCCCUUUUGUUGGGAAAGAAAAGCAGCAGGUUAAUACCCCGCUGUUCUGACGGUACCCAAAGAAUAAGCACCGGCUAACUUCGUG